GAGGGCAUAGCUCAAGUGGUAGAGCUCAUGCUUAGCAUGCACAAGGUCCUGGGUUCAAUCCCUAGUAUCUCCA
RNAcentral lists this transfer RNA (73 nucleotides) under Camelus bactrianus (Bactrian camel). It matches the Rfam family "tRNA". From Rfam's summary of the family: Transfer RNA (tRNA) molecules are approximately 80 nucleotides in length. Lineage: Eukaryota; Metazoa; Chordata; Mammalia; Artiodactyla; Camelidae. RNAcentral also lists the same sequence under 2 other names. The record is from Rfam by way of RNAcentral.